CAGUCGCCGCGGGAAUACAGAGGGUGCAAGCGUUAAUCGGAGUUACUGGGCGUAAAGGGCGCGUAGGCGGUUAUAUAAGUGAGAUGUGAAAUCCCUGGGCUUAACCUAGGAACUGCAUCUUAUACUGUAUGGCUAGAGUAUUGUAGAGGGUAGUGGAAUUUCCGGUGUAGCGGUGAAAUGCGUAGAGAUCGGAAGGAACACCAGUGGCGAAGGCGGCUACCUGGACAAAUACUGACGCUGAGGCGCGAAAGCGUGGGGAGCAAACAGGAUUAGAUACCCCUGUAGUCCCUGUCUCUUAUAC
This 301-nucleotide ribosomal RNA is filed under the name uncultured bacterium. Its description in RNAcentral is "partial 16S ribosomal RNA". It matches the Rfam family "Bacterial small subunit ribosomal RNA", at positions 509 to 807 of the family's 1533-position model. The record is from RNAcentral.